Molecule: non-coding RNA, 74 nt
Organism: Phrynosoma platyrhinos (Desert horned lizard)
Lineage: Eukaryota; Metazoa; Chordata; Lepidosauria; Squamata; Phrynosomatidae
Source: the annotation of a GenBank genome assembly
GAAUAAGCAUGGCACAGUGGUUUGAGUGUUGGACUACAACUCUGAAGACCAGGGUUCGAUUCAUAGCUUGGCCA